UCCCCGUUACCGGGGCAGUCUAGCCAGAGAAAUUCAACUGACUAUAGGGGUUGCGCUCGUUAAUGGACUUAACCAAACAUCUCACGACACGAGCUGACGACGGCCAUGCAUCACCUGUCACCGCGUUCUAAAAGCACAGUUUCCUUUCGGAAACCUUCGCGGGAUGUCAAACCCUGGUAAGGUUCUUCGCUUAUCCUCGAAUUAAACAACACGCUCCACCGCUUGUGCGGGUCCCCGUCAAUUCCUUUAUGUUUUAGUCUUGCGACCGUACUCCACAGGCGGGAUGCUUAACGCGUUAGCUUCGCUACUACACGGGUCGAUACGUAUAACAGCUAGCAUCCAUCGUUUACGGCGUGGACUAC
RNAcentral lists this unclassified non-coding RNA (362 nucleotides) under uncultured bacterium. Its description in RNAcentral is "contains 16S-23S intergenic spacer region". The record is from RNAcentral.